GCAAGGCGUGUGCAGCUACGCGCAAAAUCAAUUUCAUUGUCAUGCAAUGCACGUGCACUAGUCUACAUCUGCUCUAUCUUUCACAAACCAAAGGGGUUUGCUCAUUGCCGUGCACCGCUUACUUCUCGUAAACACGUUCUCAGCGCCGGUCCAACUUACCCUUGUUUGCCAGUAAUUUAACAUUUAAUGAC
Long non-coding RNA from Haliotis rubra (blacklip abalone), 191 nucleotides. RefSeq lists it as uncharacterized. The transcript is spliced from 3 exons. The record is from RefSeq and is a predicted model, not a curated record. NCBI's taxonomy places the organism in Eukaryota, Metazoa, Mollusca, Gastropoda, Lepetellida, Haliotidae.